GAAAUGCGAUAAGUAAUGUGAAUUGCAGAAUUCAGUGAAUCAUCGAAUCUUUGAACGCAGCUUGCGCUCCUUGGUAUUCCUUGGAGCAUGCCUGUUUGAGUAUCAUGAAAUCUUCAAAGUAAAUCUUUUGUUAACUCAAUUGGUUUCUACUUUGGUAUUGGAGGUCUUUGCAGCUUCACACCUUCUCCUCUUUGUUCAUUAGCUGGAUCUCAGUGUUAUGCUUGGUUCCACUCGGCGUGAUAAGUUAUCUAUCGCUGAGGACACUGUAAAAGGUGGCCAAGGUAAAUGCAGAUGAACCGCUUCUAAUAGUCCAUUGACUUGGACAAUACUUUUAUGAUCUGAUCUCAAAUCAGGUAGGACUACCCGCUGAACUUAAGC
Molecule: unclassified non-coding RNA, 378 nt
Filed under: plant metagenome
Description: partial contains 5.8S ribosomal RNA, internal transcribed spacer 2, and large subunit ribosomal RNA
Rfam family: 5.8S ribosomal RNA (bases 1-105)
Source: RNAcentral